This 286-nucleotide long non-coding RNA is filed under the name Lathyrus oleraceus (garden pea). RNAcentral's name for it is "Pisum sativum (pea) long non-coding RNA (PSAT_LNC024662)". The record is from RNAcentral. Lineage: Eukaryota; Viridiplantae; Streptophyta; Magnoliopsida; Fabales; Fabaceae.
CCGCACGCUGAUUAAAACACUUGGACUAGGCUUCCAGCGCAAUUGAUGUUCCUACCCUCCAUUCAUGGCCCAUGAUCCAUUCAUUCACAUUUAUUUUCUUUUUCUUUUUUAAUUCUUAUUUUAUUUUUCUGUUUUGUUGGUUUAUUCUUAAAAAUAUUUUCUUUAUUCAUUAAAAUACCCAAAAAUUAUUUUUCACAUUCUUGAUGUCUUAUUUAAUUUAUUUUUAUUUUUAUUUUCAUAUUUAUUUAAUGUUAAUAUUUUAUUUUAAUUAUUUCUUUCAAGUGGU